UAGUAGGGUUAAUGGUUAAACCAAAAUAUAAAUAUAAAUAGAGGGUUUUCUAGUAAUAGGUUAAUAAAGUGUCAUUUAUUUCUUCAUGUUUUUCCCCAAAGGCGGGAAAUCCUUUUCACAGCGGCACAGACGCGUCUCCGUCGUUCUCGUCCUCUCUACAAUAAGUUCCCGAGAUGACUGUGAAGAACUCCAUUCCUUGAGUUUUGCUAUUUGGGUAAUUUCUUGGUAUUUUUUUGCGUUUUAAUCGAAAGAUAUAUGGAAACGUCAACCAGAAAACCUAAGAUUUGUGGCUUCCACCCACUUAGUAAAGGGAUUGAUAGAAUUAGCUCAUUGCCAGAUGAUAUCCUGCACAAAAUUCUUUCAUCUCUCUUUAUUUUUGAUGUGGUUCAGUUGAGUUUAUUGUCUAAAAGAUGGAAAUAUAUGUGGACUACUAUGCCUUACUUGCACUUUGAUCUUGAUCGAUUUUAUCCACAACGGAUCAAUCGGCCUUGUGACUCGGCAAUGGUUGAGAAAUUCAAGGACUUUAUCAAUUGGGUCUUAAUUUCCCAAAGCGCCACUAAACUUGUCCGGUUUCUUCUCUGUUGUAACAAUAUCUUUGGUAAGUUUGCUAUUUUGCGGUGGAUUCAUGUGACAACAAGGCGAAAGGUUCAAGAGCUUGUAUUAAGUUUUAAUCUUGGUGAGCCAUUUGAGUUACCAUUGUCUUGCAACUUGUGAAUCUUUGCAAAUCUUAAAACUACACUUGUCCGGGAACAUACUUAAACUGCCUAAUCAUUUGGGAUUUCAUCAGCUGAAAUUGCUUCAUCUUGAGGAGGUCGAGUUGUCAGACGAGCAUUUGACAAGUUGCUUGUUCUCAAAAUGUCAUCUCCUUGAAAGGUUGAUCUUAGAGGAAUGUAGUUUAGGAGCUAUGACUCUACUUGAUAUUGCUUCAACAUCUCUUAUUUAUUUUACUUUAGUAGAUGGCAAUAAUUAUGUGGAGAGUUACUGCAAUUGUGAAGUCAGAAUUUGUUGCCCCAAUCUCAAGUUCUUAAAGUAUAAAGCUCCAAUGCCAAAGGAUAUAAUCUUCGAGAAUCUCUUUUCAAUAGAAGACGUUCGCAUCUUCUUUAUUGAUAUGGACGGUUCACGUGAAGAAAAUGCCAUAUUUGUGCAUAAGCUGAUCAAGGAGGUUCCUUCUACAUCAGUUUUGAAGCUAUGCAAGCCGACUAUUUGGGGUCUUUAUGAAGCGGUUCGCAAAGUAAGACUCGAUCCAAUCUCUUUUAUAAGCUGAAGACCUUAAAGCUGGAUGUGGUUGUUGAUGAAGAUUUCAUGCAAGUUAUGAUAGUAUUACUCAAGUAUUCUCCUAAUCUGGAGGUUCUUAAAUUGUGGUCUGAUGAGAAUGGAGACUGGAUUGAGAAUUUGCAGAUGCAUGAUCCUGAUGAAAUCAUUGUGUGCUUGGAAUCUCAUCUAAAGUCAAUUGAGUUGAUUGGUUUCAAAGAUGACAAAAACGAGAUAGAACUACUAAGGUUUUUUCUGAAGAAUGCGCGGGUAUUGGAAAAACUGACGAUUGUUUGGGCCAGCUAUGCUGAUAGAUCAGAAGAGACAUCUACGGAGGUCUUGAAGUUUCCUAGAACUUCUUCACACGUCGUUGUGAAAUUUGUCGAUGCCAAGCCCUGGCCCAAGCCAAGAACUCGGCACUGGUACAACAGGUAUUACAAAUGACAGGACUUGGAAGAGGAUUCAUUGUUGGAUGUACUCUUGUUGAGAUUUUAAUCCAAGUCAGAACCAGACUGUAUACAGAAACUUCAAGGGGUGUUUUGCUUUUCAUGUUUGAACUGCUAUGCAGGAGUAGUAACUACUGAGUCAGAACUCAAUACUCGAUUAUCUUUAUGAGAUGUGGUAUCUAACUUCAAAGUCCAAUGCAGUCUUGAAUUUCGACCUGAAUUGAAGGCCAAAACUGCUUAGCCGAGCUGGUUCUAGUCAAGUGUAUUUUUAAGCCGUAGUGUUUUGAUUCAUCUUCAUCACUUUCAGGUUCUCUACCCAAGAUGCACUUACUGUAUGUAUUUCAUCCACUAAUAUCACAGAACACAGUCUGGACCUGAGGCUCUAUGCCUUUAUUGGACUAUCUUGACCAACUUUUUGCCUAGCCGGUUACCCCCCGGAUGAUUGAGCUCACCAAUUCUAAUUACUAGUUGGACAAAUUACCACUCUUUUUAUAAAUUUUUCUCUAUAGUUUAGUAAGUGGUUCAGCUUAAGAAUUUGUCUAUCCUGUCGAACUCCAUGAGUUGGCACACUAUAUUUCGAGUCUAAGUUUUAGCUAUGCUUGGGCCUAAAAUGUUCUAAUUUAGGCUAUGACGUGCCCCUCCACCCCAUAACAUGAAGA
Molecule: long non-coding RNA, 2356 nt
Organism: Nicotiana attenuata
Lineage: Eukaryota; Viridiplantae; Streptophyta; Magnoliopsida; Solanales; Solanaceae
Exons: 3
Source: RefSeq, a predicted model, not a curated record